Molecule: long non-coding RNA, 1104 nt
Organism: Bubalus bubalis (water buffalo)
Lineage: Eukaryota; Metazoa; Chordata; Mammalia; Artiodactyla; Bovidae
Exons: 4
Source: RefSeq, a predicted model, not a curated record
CAGAACUGUGAGAAAUGAACAUUUGUCAUUUAAACAACCUUGGAUAUUCUUGUUAGAGCAGGCAGAUACUCUUACCUCUCCUAUUCCUCAAAGCUACCCUGCAAGAUAAACAUUACCCAAAAGCUCAGGCGAGGAAAAGUGAGGUCGCUUGCUUAACAUCACACAGCUGUUUGGUGGCUCCUGUGGAGCAAAGGGAGGGAGCUUAUGCUUCACUGCCAGCACCACAAAGACAGCUUACCACAGAAGGGACUCUGCCUCAAGGGCUGAGGCCUCAGAGGCUUUACUGAUCCUCCCGUGACUCAGCGGUCCACCAAGGCGAGGGGCUUCUCUGACUGCUGGAUAUCAUCUCUGUGAGGCCGUACUCAACCUAUGUGUGGUAUCCUUCAUGUUAUAUAAAUUUGUAACCAACCAACCAAACCAGACAGAUGAGAGCUCCAGGGAGAAGAUCCUGAAAGAGCUCCCAGAUGCCUGCCGAAACCUCGGGUGCUGAGUUACUGACAAGAGAAAAGCCUUUCUAAGACCUUGGUUACCUAGAAGACAAUGAGCAAGACUGACCAGCUGUGAGGCCUGCAUUUCCUGGCUCAUCAGCACUCAGUCACAUUUCUCUCUCUCCCAGAGGCCUCAUGACAACACUUAUGGAUGGUCAGGAGAGCUGCAGCCCCGAGAACCUUCUGUAUGGUCAGAUUUAAGAGCUACAAGCAGCUGGGUGAGACCCUCAGAGGUACCCACUACAACACCAGGACCAGUAGAUUUAUACUUUUCUGUAUUCCAAACUAAGAGUAGAAUUCUAAACCUUGCUUCGCAGGGGCACUAGUGGUAAAGAACCUGCUUGCCAGUGCAGGAGACACAAGAGACCUGGGUUUGAUCCCUGGGUCAGGAAGAUCCCCUGAAGAAGGAAAUGGCAACCCACUCCAGUUUUCUUGCCUGGAAAAUUCCAUGGACAAAGGAGCCUGGUGGGUUAUAGUCCACAGGGUCUCAAAGAGUUGGACACAACUGAAGCAACUUAGCAUUCAAUGUAGAGUGAACAUAACCCUUGAAACCAUGAUAUGUCCAGAUUAUUCACGUAUUUUCCUAUCAUUAAAUCAUCUUUACCUGUUGUUUUCA